RNAcentral lists this long non-coding RNA (3624 nucleotides) under Sus scrofa (pig). RNAcentral's name for it is "lncRNA (ENSSSCG00000053567.1)". Lineage: Eukaryota; Metazoa; Chordata; Mammalia; Artiodactyla; Suidae. The record is from RNAcentral.
AUCUUGCUGCUGUGUUAGGCCUUCUUGGCUAUGCCUUGGUCAUGACCCUUGGCUCCCAGCUCCCUUUCUACCUGGUUUUUCUGUCUUUGACCAUCCUUCCACUGGCUUUCUGCUCUGUUCUUCCUCCUCUGCCUUCCCCCCACCUCCAAAUAUUGAUUCUUCCCCCACCUUCCUUUUCUUUCUCUUCCACUUGCUGUCCCUGGAGACAGUGCAGCAUGGUGCCAAGGCAUGAAUCUUUAAGUUCAGACAGACUUGAAUUGUGUAUUCUGGUUCUGCUCCUUGUGAGUGGUCAAACCUUAGAAAAUCAGUUAACCUUUCCCGACUUCAGGUCUCUCUUCUAUAAAACCAAAACAAAUGAUAACAAUAGUAACAAUGAUAAUAAUAAUCACUCUUUCCUAGAGUUGUUUUCCUAGCAUCAAAAAGGGCCCAGCCCAGUGCUGAUACGCCGAAAGCUCUCUACAUGGAAGCUGUUACUAUUUUAUUAUCAUCUGUAUCAUCACAACUCUUCUUUUCAUCUUCUCCCCUGACCUCAGCUCAUGCACUUGACUCAACACCAGUCACCUCUACAUGCCCAGCUCUGACCUCUCCCCUGAGCAACAGCUCACACUGAAAACCAUCUACUAUACCUUCUCUGGGAUGUCCACAGACAUCUCAAAUUCUAAGUCCUGGUAUAGGCUGUCUCUCUCUGUCCCCCACAAAUUCAUAUGUUGAAGCCCUACCUCAGAAUAUGGCUAUAUUUGAAGAUAGGGCCUUGAAGGAGGUGACUAAGUUAAAUGAGGCAUUGGAGGUGAGCCCUCAUCCAAUCCAACCAGUGUCUUUAUAAGGUGAGGGGAGUUGGAUACACACAUGCCAUGGAUGCCUGCACAGAAAAGAGGCCAUGUGAGGACAUAGGAGCAGGAAGCCACUGGCCAGCCAUGGGGGAAGGUCUCAGGAGAAACUCAACCUGUGUAACACCUUGAUCUUGGACUUCUAGUCUCCAGAACCACUGGAAAAUGCAUUUCUGUUGCUUAAGCCACCCAGUCUGUGGAAUUUUGCAACCUCAAAGACUAAUACACAUCCCAGGCUCUAAUCACCAUAUCUUUCCUAAAACAAGCCCCUCCUCCUGUAUCCCCUUCUUGCUAAGCAAUGGUUCUUCCUUCUGCCUCAUCAUUCACACCUGAUCUGUCUCCAUGGCCUGGCGGUCUUAAUUUCUGAAGAGCUCACAACCUAGGCGUCACCUCUCUUAGCUCAAGCCCACGUGAUCUUUCGUCUGGCCCAUUGCAAUAGCCUCCCACUUAAUUGGUCUCUGUCCCCACAGCAUGCCUCCAUUUGCAUCUGUCCAAUAUACCAUAAGUGAAUCAUUCCGAAGCGCAGAUUUGUUCACCUCUGGACUCAGCAAAAAGUGUUCCAUUAACUUCCCAGUGCCUGGUAAAAGCUCCUCAGCCCAACACCUCAAACCAUCAAAAAUUUGGCUCCAGUUGACCAAUCACUCUUGUGUCUUGCCUUCUCCUCUCUUAGACCUUUACUCUAGUCAAACUGGAAAACACAUUGCUCCUGGAAAAAGGUUCCACCCUUUCUGAGCACUCCCUAAACUAAAAUGCUUCCCUCUUCCUCCAUCUAAUGUCUUUUUCAUUCUAUAAACUUCAGUUCACAUUCCACACUACCAAGCCUUUCUUGCCUUAUUCUCUGCAGAAGGCAUCUUUGCACUGGGCUCAGCUCCUGGCUCAUGAUAAUGGCCUGGGUCAUGUGUGCACGCUCUCCUCUCUCCUGCUCAACUGUGAACCCACCAAGGGCCACACAACAGGCGCCGGUCACCUUUUAUCCCCCUGGUGUCCAGCAUGGCACCUGGCUUGAAUCUCUUCCACAGUGUAGAUUGAUGAGCAAAUGAAGAAUGUCAGUAGCAAGGUCAUGAAGACAGGCCCUGAUGCCCUAGAAAAACCAUUCUCACUAAAGAGUUGCUAUUCCUGACUUCCCACUAGUAAACUGGGUCCUUGGUUUAAAUGGCCAAAGUGAACCACUAGUCUGUAAUCUAUUCUGGAAUUUAAGCAGUAGAGAAGAGGCAAAUGAAUUUUUUAAAAGAAAAUGGCACUAGGAUGCAGAGGAUCCAGCCGUGAUGUCAUUAGUACUCAGCCAUCACAUCUUGGCCUUAUUGUUUCUCUGUGAACAAUGUCCAUCUUUACAAACAUCUCCUAGAGAGCUGUGCUCACAGUCACCCCAAAGUGUUCAACUCUGUAAGAAGCACCUCCACGUGGUGCCAUCACAUCUGACCUUUUUAGUUCCCAGAUGACCCCCUCGCCCUGGCUUUUUUCCCUUCACUGCGACAUCCAGCAUAGACACAAGUGCCAUGGAGCUGGGUCAAUGGUGUGCCCUGUGUAAUCUGUCUGGAUAGGUCACUCUGGCAGCCGCUGCUCAGACUCAAAGCAUCUCAGCACCCUGAUGCCAAAAGGCAUGCUGAAAUGGGGCCAAUGCAUCAGGUUGUCUUUCUACUCAUAAGCAGCAGAAGAGCUAGGAUGACUUUGGUCUGUAAUACUUUCUACCUAGGUAUCAGUUUUCCUCACAUUAAAAAUAAAUAAAUAAAGUUUGUUGUAUGGUAAAUAAGACAAUGCUAAGGAUUCUAUUUUCAUGUCAUAAAAGAUGAGAGUCAGGACCCCUGAAGUUAAAACACCUUUUCUUUCAUCAUCCAAAUGUAAAUAUGACCCUGGUUCUUAAAUGAGCAGCCAUGCUCUUCUCAAUCCAUUUUCUUCACGGGCAUUUUCUGGGGGUUGCUGGGACUCAGGUUCUUAUCUUCGUGGAAUGUUCCAAUCUAGUUCUGUCCUGGCUUUAGUCACAGUUCUGAGAGCCACCCUCAAAAAAACAGAGUGAUGACAUGCAUCUAGCUGAAGGCAGAAUAUAUUCUAGGAAAGUAGAACUUUUAAAAGUAGAUUCAUGUCUUAUCACACCAUAUGGCCAUAGGAGUGAUCAGAUGCAUCUAUCUGUACUACUGAUAGAAAAAUAAAGCAGAUUACAUAUACUUAUCAUUGGGAGGAAUUACAUCAUUAAAGAACUUAGAAAUUAUCUCUUAUUUGGGUUAGAAGGAACAAGGGGGAAAAUUAGAUGCAUCCCCAUAUGGAAAACCUUAAUUCUAAUUUGCAUUUUAAUGGAAAUGACGCUUCAAAUGCCUCCUCUUCGGUAAGCCUUUUCUGGGUCUUUCUAGCUUGAGCAAACCAGAUUUCAGCUGGAAUCUGACUUUCCAGAAAGUUCACACCACCUAAGAGCAUCUCAGGUGAAAAUAUCACAUAGUGAUAUGUUAAGUCACAUGCUUAGGAAAUCCUUAAACACUGACACUAAGAGUACAUGAUUCUUUUUUGGAAAGAAAUAUUCUUCCCAGAUUUUAAAGAUAAUUCCUAUUCUUUGGAAGAAAAAUAUAAAAAAUAGUUGUCUGCAAUCCCAAAACCCCAAAAUUACCACUGUGUAUUAUUUUAUAUCCUUCUUUUCUCUAUAUGCAUACAUGAUUAUAAUUUUUACUAUUGUUUUUGUUUUUGCAAAAAUGGAAUAUCAGACAUUCUGUGGUCUGCAUAUGUUCCCUUAAAACUUAUGGUGAAUAUCUUUACCUGUUCAUAUAUGUAGAUCAACGUUAAGAUUCUUAUGGGCUGCAAUAUUACCCUA